CCCACAAGCUCUCUGGGCAGCCUGUCCCAGUGCUCUGUCACCUCACACUAAAGAAGUGCCCCCUCAUAUUGAGCCAGAACUUCCUGUGCUUUACAUUCACAUAUAUGGAUUCCUUAGUCUAUUGAAUAAUGCUGCAUUCACAUCAUUGCGCAUCCCCAAGAAUGGAAUUAAGAUGACGUGAUGCCUUAUUAUCAUCUGACUUUGCAGUUACCUUACAGGGCUUGGUGUCGAUAGAGCCUGUCUCCCCCACUGUCUCACAGAUACUUCCCUGAUGCACAAAUACUCUUGGACCCUCCUGCAUACACACUUCACAUUACACACUUCGAAAUUAAUGUGCUACAAGGCUAAUUGCAUCUAUCAGCCCAUUAAGCAAAACCACAUGCCCUUUCUUAUGUGAAAGCCAGACCUCUGUGAUGGUAUACCCUCGUCUUUCCUGGAAACUAAUAAAAAUGUUAGCGAGCCCUUUUAAGAUGGUUUCUGUCUGCAUAAUCACUUCUGCUUAAUUUAAAUAAGGCAAGAUUUUAUUUGCAUUUUUAUUUUUUUCAGCUGAAAUAGGGCUUUGAAAAGUUGGUGAACCCUGGUAUAGUGCAUUCGAAAGCCAGACUCUGAUAUUCUUUCUACCCAUAGUGUUCCUAAGGUUGUUUACAGAAAUCAGGGUAAGUCCUGUAAUUAUAAAAUGCAGGAAGGUCCUCAGCAGACUGCUACAAUACAGAAGCCUUUAAUGUAUUUAUCACACUUCUCUAAAAGUUAGGUGAGUUCUUGCGUCAAGUAACAAACUGAAAAUCUUGCUCAAAAACUUUGUCUAGUUUUAAUCUUAGCAUCCCUCAACAUCAGUUAAGUAUUUUUUCUUGCCCCUGAAAGAUUAUAGGCACAGUUAUGUUCCUCUUACUCUUUGUUUAGGUAAGGCUAGACUCCCAGGCCAGUGUGUUUUUGUUUUUUUUUUUCCCAGCUUCUGAGACUUGUUCAUCUUUUCUCAUACCAGCACAGCACUGCUUCACUGUGUCUCUUUGGACUUAUCGUUCUUUUCUGGCACAAAUGAUACACUGUGCUUAGAUGGUUUCUUGCAGUAUCACGUACGUGUACGGUGACAGGAACAGCUUCCCAUUAUUCCUGGAAACAUCUCAGUUACUACAACCUAUGAAUGCCUUUGUUUUUUGCAUGGUCUUAGAGCAUCGACAGCUUGUAUUUGGUGGUAGUUCAUCCACUGCAUACUCAACUGAUUCUUAUUCUGUCUUGCCUUCAGCUUCCAAGUUGACAGUUUUCAGCUGAACUUUUUGCUGUUAGUUCAUGACCUUGUAUUUUAUAGUCUUACCUGUACCCGCAUCUUAAUUUCUUGCACCAUGAAGGUCAUCCAGUUGCAUUUUAAUCACUUCUGGGUGAUCCACUCAAAUGAAUGUAAACACUUCUUGUGUUUAAGAAUUUGCAUCAUUUGCAGCUUUAUUUUAUAAUUUAGUGGUCAGCCACUGGAUUUCAACAGACUUCUGGGUGACAGUGGAAGAAAAUCACCCAAAUCAUGUCUCGUGUCAGGGCUGCAACCUAUAUAUUGCAGUAUUUCAGUAUUGCCAGACAUAGGAGGUAAAAAAAAGCAUGAAUCAGUAGCAAAAUACGGUAAGAUUAUUUUUAUUUAAAGCAUUUCGGUAUAGAGUGCCUCUUCUAUUCAGUAUUUUUUCAGUUAGUGCUUUCACAGCUUCCUUCAAAAUAAAAAUAAAGCCUUGUUACACCAAACAUGAAAAAGGAGGCUAUUCAUUUAGAACACGAGAUGAAGUGGGAAGUUUUUCAUACAACAUAGUGAAAGAGUAUUGCUUCUAUAAUAAUUUUAAGAUGAACCUACUUCAUAUUUCUUGGAAGUGAAUAAAAAGUCUUGAAUCAUAGCCCGAAUAUAACAUUCUGAUUGCUAUCAGUGAUACACAGCACUAAGUAGUUUAUUACUCAUUUUAUUACCUGUCAGGUACUGGCUAUUUAUGCUUACUGACGUCCGUGCUUACACAGCCCAGUAAUUGGAUACCUCGCCAGCUGCUAGUUGCAGUUUUGUGUAGAGAGGGAAGAAAAAUUGCUAAAAGCAAUUGAGGUCUCACUGCAGCAUUAUUAAUGAUGAAGGCAAAAGAUCUUUUAUUUGCUUUCAGGGGGGUUGCUGGGAACUGCUGGGAGGGGUGCAAACAGAUGGUGCCCCUCUCAGGAGGGUAAAAUUUAGGGGAGCCAUCGCUGUGCCACUGUACCACCUGCAGGCCUGUGGUGCUCAGGCUGAGAGCAGCUGGGCCUGCAAGGACUUUGGGAUCGUGGGUACCCAAAGCAGUAAAACAUCUUGGCAAAACUAUUUGUCACUCAUUGACAGGGUGGGAGAAGUACCACAGCUGCACCUGAGAUAAACCUAAUUUCAGUUCUCCCGUGGAUUUCUUGGGUUAAGUCAUCAGAUAGCAAUAUUUCUGGCUGCUGUGCAGUGCUGCUGGGCUUUGAGGGUGUUACAGGUCUGCUGUUCCCUAGGGCAGUGGGAGAUGGGCGGUGGGAAGGCCUAGUUUGUUCCUAAGGAGCUCUGAAACCUCCUGCACGCAGUCACACUCAGCUUUGCCCUGUGGUAAGUGUAAAAGAGACCUCAGCCUUGGUGCUUAAGGGACAUCAGCCUGUUGGUUUUUUUUUGGUUCCUCAGCCCUUAGGUCACAACGUGCUUCCAAGAGAGUGGUUAUGGCCCAGCCAUGCUUUCUGGCACCCAGAUCCCUUGUGUCCCUGCUGCAGCCUCUCCUACUGACUCCAGUGCCACAGCCCUGCAGUCCCACAUCCUGAUCCUCAUUCUCCUGUCGGUCUCUCCAGGUUUCCAAGUGGCAGCGACAGCAGUAAUAGCUGUAGGGCUUAGGCUUUUUAACCCAUAUUUGCCCUAGUCAGCAUUGCAGAGGAACAUUUGCUUCUCCUCGCCAUGCUACUAAGAUAACAAGUCCACAUUCUCUGACAGAUUUCAGUAUUAUUUUUUUUAACUGACCUUCCAGGAGUCCUACACUGUUUCUUCCUCUGUUCUGCCUGUGAAAUACUUCAUUGAGAGUGAUUUUUGGCAAAAGUCCAGGAGAGUUGUUGGUUACUGUGUUAAUCCAGUCAAGGGAUGUCUGUAACAAAACAGCUGUCCUGGGGUUCCUGGUCUGCACUUUGAAACUGCUGUGGGCUGGUUCUUUGAGGAUCCACAUAGCACUGACACACAGAUUAGGGACAUGGCUUAGUGGUGGGCUUGGUGCUGUUAGGUGGUGGUUGGACUUGAUGAUCUUAAAGUCCUUUCCAACCUAAGCAAUUCUGUGAUUCUGUGAUUCACAAUUAUAUUUGACCUGCUUGUGGAGGAGGAGAACUGUGAGCUCCUGAGUUUUGAGAGCUUCCACCCCAGCUGGGGUGGAGUGGGCAGACUUCCACUUUCCUUAUGACUGGGGCAGGUGAAAUAAGAACUUGCCUGCAGUUCAUGUUUUCUUCUUUGCAAAGCCCAGAUUUAUGCUUUCCAGUGAGGCAGAAGCACUCGGAGGUUAAAGUGCAUGGGACAGUUAGAAGUAUUAGUCAUGUUUGUAUGUACAUUUUAAUUAAAAGUGAAAUGAAAGUGGCUGACUUGGCAGGCGGGGAGAUUAGCAGCUUUACAGCUUCAUGUGGACAGAGGGGAUAGUGUCAUGUACUGUAGUCUUGUGAAAUGCUUACUUUCCCUGCUUUCUCUGAAGAGAGGAGAUGAAAUCUUGUUCAGAUCUGGUGAUGCUGUUGGACUACCGUCAGGUAUGGGUAUAUCACAGCACAAAGACAAGAGCAGAGGGCAUCAGCAGUCCUCUGUACACAUUCCUUUCCCUUACAGAGUCAAACCCUAGAAAAAUGCCUACGUAGACAUUCCAAAACUUGACGUAAAUGUUGUCUAAAGAUCCUGUUUGCAUUCACUGUUUAAACAGAUCGACAAUAUUAUGAUGUGCCGUUUUAAAUGAAGACCAGAUACAAGCUCAGAUAAUUGCACCUUUGAGUCUUAAGAAUGCAACUUUGGUUUUGUAAGCAGUCUGCACUUUUGUGACAGAUCAAUGCAAACACACGGAUCACAUUUCCUAGACACACAGUCUGGAGUAAUCACCACAGAGGCUAUGGCUCUGAAUUUCUGGAUUGAAUUUGUGAGCGGAAAGAGUCUCUCCAAGAGAUGUCAUUUUGAUUUCAUCCUAGACCCUGCGCCAUGCUUGGGUCUGCUCCCCAGAGCUUGCUUUGACCCCUGGCCAAGUCAGUAGGGCAUUGUGAGUAUUCAGGACGUCCCUGGGCAUGCUCAGUGACCUCAUUACUCUCCAAAUUUAUAAACAAGGACAUAAAAGAGGCAUCCCCGCUAUCUUAUUGGAAGCCACAGAAGCACUGUGGGAUCGUCAUUUCUUUGGAAGCUUUGGGCUUUCCUCCAUGUGCCAAGAGGCGGUUUGACUGCGAUCUCUCCAUCUGGCUCAGUGCUCUGGCAUCUCCUCAUGUUGACGGCAUGGCUGUGGGCAAAAAGAAACAGAGAUAGACACAGUGAUGAGAACUGAUAACCGGAGAUGCUGUGAAGACACCCUCUCGAGCCCUGUUUCAGAUGGUAGAGUUUCUUCUCCGCCACAGACACCAAAUCAGAAAUAUCUCCAUCCUAUUUCCAGUAUGACCCCGUGUUAUAAAGGGUGUUUUAGCUCCUGUGAAUAUCAAGUAACAGAACUCAGCGAUUGCAGAGCUGAAGCAUAAAUAGAAAGAGGAACAAGCAGCAGUGAACCGCUGACACUUCAGCUGAGACUUGGCAAGCCCAUCUGGAAAUGCUUGUCCCAGCAACACACAUCACAUUUGCACAGUACCUUCGUGAUUGCCUCUGUGUACAAAGUUUAUAUCAUCACUGACCUACUUUUUUUUUUUUUUUUAAUGCUGGCAGUGAAAAGGCAGAAGUUUAAUGUGAAGGGAAUUACAAUUCUUAAGUAUUUCACGUCGUUCUGUAUUUUCCUGUGUGUGUAUAUGUGCGCAAACAUUGCCAUAUGCUCACUUAGUCUGUAAUGAACUGAGACUGUGGCUGACCUGUGUGUUAACUUCCAGAGGGAAUUUGGCUCCUAAUGACAUCUUUUGAAAAGAGAUAUUCGACUUACUGGUGCAGCACCUCUGAUGUCAUCUGAGAAGAAGUGUUGAAACAUCGUUAACUGGCAUCAAAUACCCUCAUCUUUGGCAAGAUGUUUUUUUUCUAUCCACUUACUCCUGUCACAAAGGAUGCUGUGACUUGCUUUGCUUGGAAAUAAGUAAAUCUCCUUUGACAGAAAUUCCAGACAUAUGAAACUGGUGAAUGAGCUUGAAGAUGGCAGAAACCACCUUCCGUGCUCUUCCCUUCUGUGCAUCACCGUUCAUUUCCAAGGGGUUUGAUGUGGCUCAGCUCAGAGUUCGCCUGGAGGUGGUAAAGCUGCAGAAGUGGAACGCGUCCUGGCUGCCAGGGCUGGGGCUGGGCUGUACGGACACGGUCGCUGCAGCCAACUGCCUGGGCUGGAGCAGGGCGUCCUGCAGCUGCACCCUGCCAGCGUGCUGGGACUCAUCAGCCGUGACUGCGGCAGGACGUGCCUCAUGCCAUGGCUAAUUAGAGCAUCAGUGUACAUUGUUCGGUAAUUAGUAAAUUCUGCUAAGAAUAGCCAUUUUAAGUGGUCUCUUCACUGGUAUUCUUUCAUUAAAAAAAGAGUAGUUCUAUAA
This is a non-coding RNA of Anas platyrhynchos (mallard), 5664 nucleotides long. The record is from RefSeq and is a predicted model, not a curated record. Lineage: Eukaryota; Metazoa; Chordata; Aves; Anseriformes; Anatidae.